This 497-nucleotide ribosomal RNA is filed under the name uncultured bacterium. RNAcentral's name for it is "partial 16S ribosomal RNA". It matches the Rfam family "Bacterial small subunit ribosomal RNA", at positions 28 to 507 of the family's 1533-position model. The record is from RNAcentral.
GAUGAACGCUGGCGGCGUGCCUAAUACAUGCAAGUCGAGCGAACGGACGAGAAGCUUGCUUCUCUGAUGUUAGCGGCGGACGGGUGAGUAACACGUGGAUAACCUACCUAUAAGACUGGGAUAACUUCGGGAAACCGGAGCUAAUACCGGAUAAUAUUUUGAACCGCAUGGUUCAAAAGUGAAAGACGGUCUUGCUGUCACUUAUAGAUGGAUCCGCGCUGCAUUAGCUAGUUGGUAAGGUAACGGCUUACCAAGGCAACGAUGCAUAGCCGACCUGAGAGGGUGAGCGGCCACACUGGAACUGAGACACGGUCCAGACUCCUACGGGAGGCAGCAGUAGGGAAUCUUCCGCAAUGGGCGAAAGCCUGACGGAGCAACGCCGCGUGAGUGAUGAAGGUCUUCGGAUCGUAAAACUCUGUUAUUAGGGAAGAACAUAUGUGUAAGUAACUGUGUACAUCUUGACGGUACCUAAUCAGAAAGCCACGGCUAACUACGUG